AAUAAAUAUUUCGUUAUAAUAAUAUGAUAUGUCAAAUAAUCCAAAUUGUUAAGUAAAUUUUUAUUUCUUAACAUUUAUGUGUGUAACAUAAUUUUUCUCUCUUCCUAGAUUCUGUUUCACCAGGCAAGAGAAGCUCUCCUAAAUCAACUAAAAUUUUCUCCUGUGAAUGGUGCGAUUAUUCUACAAUUAUAAGAUCUCAUUUAAAAAGGCACAUACUGAUACACACGGGGGAAAAACCUUUUCAAUGUUCAGUGUGUGGAAAGUGUUUUAAUCAAAAAUCCAUUCUUCAACGACAUUAUGUUGUGCAUAUGAGAGAAGUUGAGGUAAAUUGGUAAAAGGAUUGUAUUCAAAGAAAAAAAGUUUUUUUUAAAAGGUUUUAAACUAGUCACUUCAGAAGGGUAAUGCUUACUUUCAUGAUUUUACCUAAAGAUUUCUCAGGUUUCCAAGGCCUACUGUGGGAAAAUAAUCAGAAUUUUAAGAAAAAUUGGAAGACUUACUCUUGUGAAUAUUGUGACUAUACCACCUCAAGAAUUGGGAAUUUCAAACGUCACAAUUUGAUUCACACUGGAGGAAAACCAUUCUCUUGUCAUACAUGUGGAAAACGUUUUUCACAAAAGUCUAAUCUUAAAGUCCACAUGAUUGUGCACUUGAAGAAAAAAUUAACUGACUAUUAAAAAAGAAGCUUUUGUAAUUUAUGCUACUGAGUUGAAAGCGUAUGGAGUUCUUAAUAAAACAACGUAACUUAACUUUAAAAAAA
This is a long non-coding RNA of Parasteatoda tepidariorum (common house spider), 757 nucleotides long. RefSeq lists it as uncharacterized. The record is from RefSeq and is a predicted model, not a curated record. NCBI's taxonomy places the organism in Eukaryota, Metazoa, Arthropoda, Arachnida, Araneae, Theridiidae.